GGGUAACAAGGGUGCUUCAGGGGUGUCUCCAAAGGAGCUCUGGCUCACAGCAGUGUUCCCUUCUUUUAGGGGUCUAGCCCAGCAGCUGGUGGACCCAGCCCGGCCGGGAGAUUUCAACCAAGCAGCCAUGGAGCUAGGUGCCACAGUGUGUACCCCACAGCGCCCACUGUGCAGCCAGUGCCCUGUGGAGAGCCUGUGCCGAGCACGCCAGAGAGUAAGCCUACUGGGGAAGGGGCAGUGAGAAGUCCUAAGGAGUGACUCUGCCCUAUGACACUCAACCCUGUGCCUCUCAGGUGGAGCGGGAACGGCUCUUAGCCUCAGGGAGCCUGUCGAGCAGUCCUGACGUGGAGGAGUGUGCUGCCAACACUGGACAGUGCCACCUGUGCCUGCCUCCCUCGGAGCCCUGGGACCAGACCCUGGGAGUGGUCAACUUCCCC
Molecule: small RNA, 437 nt
Filed under: Pongo abelii (Sumatran orangutan)
Lineage: Eukaryota; Metazoa; Chordata; Mammalia; Primates; Hominidae
Description: retained intron
Source: RNAcentral